This 1645-nucleotide ribosomal RNA is filed under the name Bifidobacterium longum. RNAcentral describes it as "partial 23S ribosomal RNA". It matches the Rfam family "Bacterial large subunit ribosomal RNA", at positions 762 to 2420 of the family's 2925-position model. Lineage: Bacteria; Bacillati; Actinomycetota; Actinomycetes; Bifidobacteriales; Bifidobacteriaceae. The record is from RNAcentral.
CCAUCUGGAGGACCGAACCAAUAAGCGUUGAAAAGCUUCUGGAUGACCUGAGGGUGGGGGUGAAAGGCUAAUCAAACUUGGAGAUAGCUCGUACUCCCCGAAAUGCAUUUAGGUGCAGCCUUGACUUAUACUGGCAUGAGGUAGAGCGACUGAUAAGAUGCGAGGGCUUCACCGCCUAUCAAGUCUUGACAAACUCCGAAUGCGUGUCAGUUCUAUGUCAGGAGUGAGGGCAUGGGUGCUAAGGUCCAUGUCCUAAAGGAGAACAAUCCGGACCAACAGCUAAGGUCCCUAAAUGAAUACUAAGUUGAACUAACGAAGUCAGAUUGCUAAGACAGCUAGGAUGUUGGCUUGGAAGCAGCCAUUCAUUUAAAGAGUGCGUAACAGCUCACUAGUCGAGGAGUUUGGCGUGGAUAAUAAUCGGGCAUUAAGUAUUCUACCGAAGCUUUGGGAUGUGUAAACAUCGGUAGGGGAGCAUUCCACUCGGCGUUGAAGGUGAGGCGUGAGCCUUGCUGGAGCGUGUGGAAAAGCAAAUGUAGGUAUAAGUAACGAUAAAGGGGGUGAGAAACCCCCUCGCCGAAAGACUAAGGUUUCCUGAUCAACGCUAAUCGGAUCAGGGUUAGUCGGGUCCUAAGGCUCAGCCGAACGGCGAGGCCGAUGGCAGAACCGGUUAAUAUUCCGGUACUACCUCAAGGAGUGACGUGGAGACGGAGCAGUGACAGUGCCGCGGACUGACGGAAUAGUCCGUUAAAGGGUGUAGAUGUUGAUUCCUGCAGGCAAAUCCGCAGGAAGAGUCGAACCUGACAGUAUGGAGCGUCCUUCGGGACAAUCCAAUAGUGCAUGUAAGCAUACUCCCGAGAAAAUCCGCUAAACUUAAUCCUUGUGGUACCCGUACCGCAAACGGACACACGUAGUCGGGUUGAAUAUACUAAGGCGCUUGAGUGAUUCACGGUUAAGGAACUAGGCAAACUGACCCUGUAACUUCGGGAUAAAGGGUCCUCAGGGUGACUUGAGGCGCAGAGAAUCGGUCCAGGCAACUGUUUAACAAAAACACAGGGCUGUGCGAAAUAGAAAUAUGAAGUAUACAGCCUGACACCUGCCCGGUGCUGGAAGGUUAAGAGGAGAUGUCAUCGCAAGAGAAGCAUUGAAUUGAAGCCCCAGUAAACGGCGGCCGUAACUAUAACGGUCCUAAGGUAGCGAAAUUCCUUGUCGGGUAAGUUCCGACCUGCACGAAUGGUGUAAUGAUCUGGACGCUGUCUCAACCGUGAGCUCAGUGAAAUUGUAGUAUCGGUGAAGAUGCCGAUUACCCGCGAUGGGACGAAAAGACCCCGUGAACCUUUACUAUAGCUUAACAUUGAAUUUGGGUAAUUGAUGUGUAGGAUAGGCCGGAGGCUUCGAAGCAGGUACGCCAGUAUUUGUGGAGCCGCUGUUGAAAUACGGCCCUUUGAUUAUUUGAGUUCUAACCCGCGGUUGCGGGGACACUGUUUGGUGGGUAGUUUGACUGGGGUGGUCGCCUCCAAAAGCGUAACGGAGGCUUCUAAAGGUGCCCUCACGACGAUUGGUAACCGUCGGCAGAGUGUAAUGGCAUAAGGGCGCUUGACUGGGAGACUAACAAGUCGAUCAGGUAGGAAACUAGAGCAUAGUGAUC